UACGGAGGGUGCGAGCGUUGUCCGGAAUCACUGGGCGUAAAGGGCUCGUAGGCGGCCUGUUAAGUCGGGGGUGAAAUCCUGCGGCUUAACCGCAGGGCUGCCUUCUAAACUGUCAGGCUCGAGCACAGUAGAGGCAGGUGGAAUUCCCGGUGUAGCGGUGGAAUGCGUAGAGAUCGGGAAGAACAUCAGUGGCGAAGGCGGCCUGCUGGGAUGUUGCUGACGCUGAGGCGCGACAGCGUGGGGAGCAAACAGG
Molecule: ribosomal RNA, 253 nt
Filed under: uncultured bacterium
Lineage: Bacteria
Description: partial 16S ribosomal RNA
Rfam family: Bacterial small subunit ribosomal RNA
Source: RNAcentral